Molecule: ribosomal RNA, 406 nt
Filed under: uncultured bacterium
Lineage: Bacteria
Description: partial 16S ribosomal RNA
Rfam family: Bacterial small subunit ribosomal RNA
Source: RNAcentral
GACGAACGCUGGCGGCGCGCUUAACACAUGCAAGUCGAGCGAAGCGGCGGACGGGUGAGUAACACGUGAGUAACCUGCCUUAGACAUUGGGAUAGCCUCGGGAAACCGGGAUUAAUACCAAAUGGUCUAAGAUGGACUCGCGUCUUAUCGGCUUGUUGGUGGGUAGUGGCCUACCAAGGGGACGGCGGGUAGCCGGCCUGAGAGAGCGACCGGCCAACUUGGGGCUGAGAUGCUGCCCGAACGCUACGUGGGGCAGAAGUGAGGAUGGUUGCACGAUGGAGGAAGCCCUGAUGCAGCAACGCCGAGGGCGUGAUGACGGCCAUCUGGUUGUAAACCGCUUUCAGCCAUGACGCGGUAGGGGCAGAAGAAGCACCGGCUAACUACGUGCCAGCCGCCGCGGUAAUAC